GAUGAAGAACGUAGCGAAAUGCGAUAAGUAAUGUGAAUUGCAGAAUUCAGUGAAUCAACGAAUCUUUGAACGCACCUUGCGCCCCUUGGUUAUUCCAAAGGGCAUGCCUGUUUGAGUAUCAUGAACACCUCAACUCUUGUGGUUUCCCACAAUGAGCUUGGACUGUGGAGGUUUUGUUGGCCCUGUGGUCAGCUCCUCUCAAAUGGAUCAGCUUACCGGUGUUUGGUGGCAUUACGGGUGUGAUAACUAUCUACGCUCGUGGUCGUCUCCAAAUAACCUCCAGUGAUGGAGGUUCGCUGGAGUUUAUAAAUGUCUCUCCCCAGUGAGGACAGCCUUUGAACGUUCGAUCUCAAAUCAGGUAGGACUACCCGCUGAACUUAAGCAUAUCAAUAAGCGGAGGA
This 401-nucleotide unclassified non-coding RNA is filed under the name soil metagenome. RNAcentral describes it as "partial contains 5.8S ribosomal RNA, internal transcribed spacer 2, and large subunit ribosomal RNA". The stretch from base 1 to 121 matches the Rfam family "5.8S ribosomal RNA", at positions 35 to 154 of the family's 154-position model. The record is from RNAcentral.